CUACGUGCCAGCAGCCGCGGUAAUACGUAGGGCGCGAGCGUUGUCCGGAAUUAUUGGGCGUAAAGGGCUUGUAGGCGGUUGGUCGCGUCUGCCGUGAAAUCCUCUGGCUUAACUGGGGGCGUGCGGUGGGUACGGGCUGACUUGAGUGCGGUAGGGGAGACUGGAACUCCUGGUGUAGCGGUGGAAUGCGCAGAUAUCAGGAAGAACACCGGUGGCGAAGGCGGGUCUCUGGGCCGUUACUGACGCUGAGGAGCGAAAGCGUGGGGAGCGAACAGGAUUAGAUACCCUGGUAGUCCACGCUGUAAACGUUGGGCACUAGGUGUGGGGGCCACCCGUGGUUUCUGCGCCGUAGCUAACGCUUUAAGUGCCCCGCCUGGGGAGUACGGCCGCAAGGCUAAAACUCAAAGGAAUUGACGGGGGCCCGCACAAGCGGCGGAGCAUGCGGAUUAAUUCGAUGCAACGCGAAGAACCUUACCAAGGCUUGACGUGC
This 490-nucleotide ribosomal RNA is filed under the name uncultured bacterium. Its description in RNAcentral is "bacterial SSU rRNA". It matches the Rfam family "Bacterial small subunit ribosomal RNA", at positions 501 to 989 of the family's 1533-position model. The record is from RNAcentral.